UCAGAUGUGUGGCUGCCCUUGUCCAUCAAAAUCCCUCCAAGACAGAGGAAAGGGGAUGCUCAGAGCCUUUCUUCAUUCCAGCCCUGGGCUGUACCCCAAACAGCCUAAACUUAAAAAAUAAUCAGAUUCCACAGUUGGGCUGCAUGUGGAUUAUGCAAGGACCAGAUGCCCAGUAGACAGGGUGUGCCAGAGGCUUAUACCCAAUGGGACCUUAAAAGAGGGUCAGCUGAUGCAUGCCAUUUAGACGUAUUCACUCACUCCAUUCUGUGGACAUUUUCCAGGUGCUGAGCUUGGUUCUUAGAUGCAGUGCCUGCCUCAGAGUCUGUCUAGACUUUUUAGGAGAGAGUCAAAGAAGCAAUGCUGGCGAUGCGUGCUCAGACCCAGCACAGGAUGAGAUGAUCUGGGAACUGGAAUGUCAGGAAUGACUUCACUAAGAGAUCAGAGGUGGUCUGAGAGCGGGUGACCAGAACAAGCCUGCCAGGCACAGAGAACAGCAUGUGCAAAGGAGUAAGGGAGAGCCUAGUAGGUCUGGGACAUGCCAGCAGUUCACUAGGCCUGGAUAGAAAGUUUGAGCAUGGGGAGAGGCCAGAGAAGGGGCUGGAGAAGGGAUGGGCCCAGGUCACAGGGAGCAAAGUCCACUGGCCCAAGAAGCCAGGGCUUCAUAGGGUCAGCAGUAGGGAGCCUGCCAGGGCUUUAAAGAGAGGAAAGACAUGAGCAGCUUAGCAUUUUAGAAAGUUCAUUCGACUGAAAAUGUGCAGAAAGCACAAACUAAAGCACAGACACAAAACAAGUUCAGAGGAUGUGGCUGUCACCCAGGACACACACCACCUCAUCCAGCCACAGUGGCCACAGUCCUCAGACUGGACAGCCCCUGUGUACCUGGGAUGCGGAGAGUGACCCAAGCCUCAAUCCUGGCCAGUGAGACUGCCCAUCGAGGUGGAAAUCAUCGUCUUAAUUACCAAGGCUCCCUGGCCACCGGAGGAGACACGCAACACACAGCCUGCCUAAUGCGCCAGCAGCCGAGUUGGGGAGGUCCCUGGGAAAAAGGCCUAUGCUCCCCCAGCCAUUCUCAGGGCCUAGAAUGUUCUUUAGCACGAGAGAAGUGAAGGCUCAGGGGUCCAGUGGGGAGGGCCGGGUACCAGCCCAGAAGUAGGUCUAGCCAGGGAGGUGGAGUCCCCAAGAAACACCCUCAGGAGCCUGCUGAGUCACAAUCAUCCCUCACAGCACGAAUGUCUCGCCUGCUCCCUGCACGCAGCUCACCUGGGACUCUCCUUCUGCCGGCAGGGUGAGGGGCCUUUGAAAGGCCUAAACCAGAAAGGCUGGAGGGGCUGAAGGCAGGAGCCAGCUGGCCCCAAUCCUGUUCUCUCUGGAGCCCCUCAGUCCUUAGCCCAGCCCCCAGGUGUGUCUUGUCUCCUUCUUAGAGGCUCCAACGGCCAGAGCUCCCCACUCCCAACCUACCAUCUUGUCCCAGAGAUGGAAGACAACAUGGGAGCGGCCCCUCACAGCCAGAGUACCUUCAAGACCAUGUGGCACCACCAGACUGAAACCCAGGUCCGGUGGGCUCUGCCAUCCCCAUGCCAAGCAGAGGGAAGGAGGGGGUGGGAGGACAGAAGAAGGAGUGGGCGGGGUGAGUCUGUGGUGGUUUGGAUUGAGAUGAGCUGGACUUACGUGUGUGACAGCU
This 1681-nucleotide long non-coding RNA is filed under the name Homo sapiens (human). RNAcentral describes it as "HSALNT0302046". Lineage: Eukaryota; Metazoa; Chordata; Mammalia; Primates; Hominidae. The record is from RNAcentral.